Molecule: ribosomal RNA, 201 nt
Filed under: uncultured bacterium
Lineage: Bacteria
Description: partial 16S ribosomal RNA
Rfam family: Bacterial small subunit ribosomal RNA
Source: RNAcentral
GUAGUCUGCAACUCGACUACAUGAAGCUGGAAUCGCUAGUAAUCGCGAAUCAGCAUGUCGCGGUGAAUACGUUCCCGGGUCUUGUACACACCGCCCGUCACACCAUGGGAGUCGGUAACGCCCGAAGUCAGUGACCCAACCGGAAGGAGGGAGCUGCCGAAGGCGGGACUGGUAACUGGGGUGAAGUCGUAACAAGGUAGC